UACGAAGGGGGCUAGCGUUGCUCGGAAUUACUGGGCGUAAAGGGCGCGUAGGCGGGUCGUUUAGUUAGAGGUGAAAGCCCAGGGCUCAACCCUGGAAUUGCCUUUAAUACUGGCGGCCUUGAGUAUGGCAGAGGUGUGUGGAACUCCGAGUGUAGAGGUGAAAUUCGUAGAUAUUCGGAAGAACACCAGUGGCGAAGGCGACACACUGGGCCAUUACUGACGCUGAGGCGGCGAAAAGCGUGGGGAGCCAAACAGGGAUUAAGAAAACCCUAGU
This 274-nucleotide ribosomal RNA is filed under the name uncultured bacterium. RNAcentral describes it as "partial 16S ribosomal RNA". It matches the Rfam family "Bacterial small subunit ribosomal RNA", at positions 524 to 792 of the family's 1533-position model. The record is from RNAcentral.